This 764-nucleotide long non-coding RNA is filed under the name Pan troglodytes (chimpanzee). RNAcentral describes it as "long non-coding RNA NONPTRT018598". Lineage: Eukaryota; Metazoa; Chordata; Mammalia; Primates; Hominidae. The record is from RNAcentral.
CUCCUCUCCUCCCUUGUCCAGGUGCACCCUGCCCGCUUGUGGUGGCCUCAGGGGUGAGAAAUCAGGACCCACCCAGUGAGAGAAAUAACCCAAGCUGUCAGCAACGCGGAAAGAAAUGGGCUAGCAACCUCUUAAAGCAUCCUCACAUACUGCGGCGAUGACUCUGUGCACAGACCAAGGAAGGAGAGAGGCCGCGGAAGUCAGGUAGAGUACUUCCUUGGUGGUCAGAUUCUGGAGGGCUAAACGUGUGUGUGCGUGAAUGAUCAAAAACAACCCUACUUGCGGUGUUGUUCAUGUGGAUGGUGACAAGUCCUACUGCUGGAUGGCGUCAGUGGGUUUCUCUCCGUGGUUCCGUAGCUACCUCAUAUGGCUUAGGGCGGAUUAUGCCACGGGAUUUAUACUGGCACCCAACAUUAAGAGGGGCCUAAUUCUCCCUUGAAGGGGCAACCAAAGAGGAUAACAUGAGUGGGAAGUGUGCAAGGGACCUUCAGAGGGGGAAAGGGAGGAAACAGGUGAACCUUCUGGUACAGGCAAGGCUAGACAUCCCUGGUUUGAGGUGGUGAGGCUUUGGGGUCAGGCAAGGCGAGACAUCCCUUGUUUGAAGGGUUGAGGCUUUCAGGGCAGGCAAGGCAAGCCAUCACCUGGUUUGAGCGGCUGAGCCUUCCGAGGCAGGCAAGGCAAGACAUCCUUGGUUUGAGGGGUUGAGCCUUCUGGGGCAGGCAAAGUGAGACACCCCUGCUUUGAGGGGUUGAGCCUUCCGCAGA